GGGCAUUUGGUCUAGUGGUAUGAUUCUCGCUUAGGGUGCGAGAGGUCCCAAGUUCGACUCUUGGAAUGCCCC
RNAcentral lists this transfer RNA (72 nucleotides) under Olea europaea subsp. europaea. It matches the Rfam family "tRNA". From Rfam's summary of the family: Transfer RNA (tRNA) molecules are approximately 80 nucleotides in length. Their secondary structure includes four short double-helical elements and three loops (D, anti-codon, and T loops). Further hydrogen bonds mediate the characteristic L-shaped molecular structure. tRNAs have two regions of fundamental functional importance: the anti-codon, which is responsible for specific mRNA codon recognition, and the 3' end, to which the tRNAs corresponding amino acid is attached (by aminoacyl-tRNA synthetases). tRNAs cope with the degeneracy of the genetic code in two manners: having more than one tRNA (with a specific anti-codon) for a particular amino acid; and 'wobble' base-pairing, i.e. permitting non-standard base-pairing at the 3rd anti-codon position. Lineage: Eukaryota; Viridiplantae; Streptophyta; Magnoliopsida; Lamiales; Oleaceae. The record is from Rfam by way of RNAcentral.